AAAAGAAACCAACAGGGAUUGCCUUAGUAACGGCGAGUGAAGCGGCAAAAGCUCAAAUUUGAAAUCUGGCACCUUCGGUGUCCGAGUUGUAAUUUGAAGAAGGUAACUUUGGAGUUGGCUCUUGUCUAUGUUCCUUGGAACAGGACGUCACAGAGGGUGAGAAUCCCGUGCGAUGAGAUGCCCAAUUCUAUGUAAAGUGCUUUCGAAGAGUCGAGUUGUUUGGGAAUGCAGCUCUAAGUGGGUGGUAAAUUCCAUCUAAAGCUAAAUAUUGGCGAGAGACCGAUAGCGAACAAGUACAGUGAUGGAAAGAUGAAAAGAACUUUGAAAAGAGAGUGAAAAAGUACGUGAAAUUGUUGAAAGGGAAGGGCUUGAGAUCAGACUUGGUAUUUUGCGAUCCUUUCCUUCUUGGUUGGGUUCCUCGCAGCUUACUGGGCCAGCAUCGGUUUGGAUGGUAGGAUAAUGACUAAGGAAUGUGGCUCUACUUCGGUGGAGUGUUAUAGCCUUGGUUGAUACUGCCUGUCUAGACCGAGGACUGCGUCUUUGACUAGGAUGCUGGCAUAAUGAUCUU
This 568-nucleotide ribosomal RNA is filed under the name Debaryomyces prosopidis. RNAcentral describes it as "partial large subunit ribosomal RNA". It matches the Rfam family "Eukaryotic large subunit ribosomal RNA", at positions 57 to 641 of the family's 3401-position model. Lineage: Eukaryota; Fungi; Ascomycota; Pichiomycetes; Serinales; Debaryomycetaceae. The record is from RNAcentral.